GACGAACGCUGGCGGCGUGCUUAACACAUGCAAGUCGAACGCUGAAGCUCAGCUUUUGUUGGGUGGAUGAGUGGCGAACGGGUGAGUAACACGUGAGUAACCUGCCCCCUUCUUUGGGAUAACGCCCGGAAACGGGUGCUAAUACUGGAUAUUCACUGGUCUUCGCAUGGGGGUUGGUGGAAAGGGUUUUUCUGGUUGGGGAUGGGCUCGCGGCCUAUCAGCUUGUUGGUGGGGUGAUGGCCUACCAAGGCUUUGACGGGUAGCCGGCCUGAGAGGGUGACCGGUCACAUUGGGAGUGAGGUACGGCCGAGACUCCUACGGGGGGCAGCAGUGGGGAAUAUUGCACAAUGGGCGCAAGCGUGAUGCAGCGGCGCCGCGUGAGGGAUGGAGGCCUUCGGGUUGUGAACCUCUUUCGCUCAUGGUGAAGCCGCAACAAUGGUUGUGGUGAGAGUAGUGGGUAAAGAAGCGCCGGCUAACUACGUG
This 483-nucleotide ribosomal RNA is filed under the name uncultured bacterium. Its description in RNAcentral is "partial 16S ribosomal RNA". It matches the Rfam family "Bacterial small subunit ribosomal RNA", at positions 28 to 507 of the family's 1533-position model. The record is from RNAcentral.